GGCUUAGAGUUUGAUCAUGGCUCAGGACGAACGCUGGCGGCGUGCUUAACACAUGCAAGUCGAACGGGGCACCCUUGACUGGGGUUUCGGCCAAAUGAUAGGAAUGCCUAGUGGCGGACUGGUGAGUAACGCGUGAGGAACCUGCCUUCCAGAGGGGGACAACAGUUGGAAACGACUGCUAAUACCGCAUGACAUAUUGAAAGGGCAUCCUUUUGAUAUCAAAGAUUUAUCGCUGGAAGAUGGCCUCGCGUCUGAUUAGCUAGUAGGCGGGGUAACGGCCCACCUAGGCGACGAUCAGUAGCCGGACUGAGAGGUUGACCGGCCACAUUGGGACUGAGAUACGGCCCAGACUCCUACGGGAGGCAGCAGUGGGGAAUAUUGGGCAAUGGGCGCAAGCCUGACCCAGCAACGCCGCGUGAAGGAAGAAGGCUUUCGGGUUGUAAACUUCUUUUGUCAGGGAACAGUAGAAGAGGGUACCUGACGAAUAAGCUCCGGCUAACUACGUGCCAGCAGCCGCGGUAAUACGUAGGGAGCGAGCGUUGUCCGGAUUUACUGGGUGUAAAGGGCGUGCAGCCGGGCUGGCAAGUCAGGCGUGAAAUCCCAGGGCUUAACCCUGGAACUGCGUUUGAAACUGCUGGUCUUGAGUACCGGAGAGGUUAUCG
Molecule: ribosomal RNA, 662 nt
Filed under: uncultured bacterium
Lineage: Bacteria
Description: bacterial SSU rRNA
Rfam family: Bacterial small subunit ribosomal RNA
Source: RNAcentral